Long non-coding RNA from Cucurbita moschata (crookneck pumpkin), 174 nucleotides. RefSeq lists it as uncharacterized. The record is from RefSeq and is a predicted model, not a curated record. Lineage: Eukaryota; Viridiplantae; Streptophyta; Magnoliopsida; Cucurbitales; Cucurbitaceae. The transcript has 3 exons.
UGACUCGAUAUCACUAUAAUAUAUCGAUUCCAAGGUUUUUGACCAUUCCGAAGUUGUUUCUGCCCUCAGUUUUACCAUCCGAGGACGUAUUUAACCGCUGGGAUUAGCUCAUUGUGAGUGACUUCAACCAAGACCAUCGAGGUAAAGACAAGGCGGUUGACGGCGGAGCUGAGG